UGCCCCGAAGGGUGACGAAGCGACGCCGCGUGUGGGAAGAAGGCCUUCGGGUUGUAAACCACUGUCGGGAGUUAAGAAAGGUGUACGGGUAAAUAGUCCGUGCAUUUGACAAAAGCUCCGGAGGAAGCCACGGCUAACUCUGUGCCAGCAGCCGCGGUAAUACAGAGGUGGCAAGCGUUGUUCGGAAUUAUUGGGCGUAAAGAGCACGUAGGCGGCCCUGCAAGUCAGCUGUGAAAGCCUCCUGCUUAACGGGAGAAGUGCAGUUGAAACUACGGGGCUAGAGUGCGGAAGGGGAGAGUGGAACUUCUGGUGGAGCGGUGAAAUGCGUAGAUAUCAGAAGGAACACCGGCGGCGAAAGCGGCUCUCUGGUCCGUAACUGACGCUGAGGUGCGAAAGCCAGGGGAGCAAACGGGAUUAGAUACCCCGGUAGUCCUGGCCGUAAACGAUGGGCACUCGGUAGAGGGGUUUUGAAUAUCUCUCUGCCUGAGCUAACGCGUUAAGUGCCCCGCCUGGGGAGUACGGCCGCAAGGCUAAAACUCAAAAGAAUUGACGGGGGCUCGCACAAGCGGUGGAGCAUGUGGCUUAAUUCGAUGCAACACGAAGAACCUUACCGGGGCUCGACAUGACAGAAGUAGGAGUCCGAAAGGACAACCAACGGUAUCCAGUCCGUAGCUGUCACAGGUGUUGCAUGGCUGUCGUCAGCUCGUGUCGUGAGACGUUGGGUUAAGUCCCCUAACGAGCGAAACCCUUGUCUUUAGUUGCCAACGGGUCAAGCCGGGCACUCUAAAGAGACUGCUGUCGUUAAGACGGAGGAAGGUGGGGAUGACGUCAAGUCAUCAUGGCCCUUAUGUCCCGGGCUGCACACGUGCUACAAUGGUCGGUACAAAGGGAUGCUAAAUCGCAAGAUGGAGCGAAACCCAGAAAGCCGGUCCCAGUUCAGAUUGGG
RNAcentral lists this ribosomal RNA (946 nucleotides) under uncultured bacterium. RNAcentral's name for it is "bacterial SSU rRNA". It matches the Rfam family "Bacterial small subunit ribosomal RNA", at positions 372 to 1302 of the family's 1533-position model. The record is from RNAcentral.